CGCAUAGAUCCAAGAACCGCAUGGUUCUUGGCUGAAAGAUGGCGUAAGCUAUCGCUUUUGGAUGGACCCGCGGCGUAUUAGCUAGUUGGUGAGGUAACGGCUCACCAAGGCGAUGAUACGUAGCCGAACUGAGAGGUUGAUCGGCCACAUUGGGACUGAGACACGGCCCAAACUCCUACGGGAGGCAGCAGUAGGGAAUCUUCCACAAUGGACGCAAGUCUGAUGGAGCAACGCCGCGUGAGUGAAGAAGGCUUUCGGGUCGUAAAACUCUGUUGUUGGAGAAGAAUGGUCGGCAGAGUAACUGUUGUCGGCGUGACGGUAUCCAACCAGAAAGCCACGGCUAACUACGUGCCAGCAGCCGCGGUAAUACGUAGGUGGCAAGCGUUAUCCGGAUUUAUUGGGCGUAAAGCGAGCGCAGGCGGUUUUUUAAGUCUGAUGUGAAAGCCCUCGGCUUAACCGAGGAAGCGCAUCGGAAACUGGGAAACUUGAGUGCAGAAGAGGACAGUGGAACUCCAUGUGUAGCGGUGAAAUGCGUAGAUAUAUGGAAGAACACCAGUGGCGAAGGCGGCUGUCUGGUCUGUA
RNAcentral lists this ribosomal RNA (582 nucleotides) under uncultured Bacilli bacterium. Its description in RNAcentral is "bacterial SSU rRNA". It matches the Rfam family "Bacterial small subunit ribosomal RNA", at positions 170 to 738 of the family's 1533-position model. Lineage: Bacteria; Bacillati; Bacillota; Bacilli. The record is from RNAcentral.